RNAcentral lists this ribosomal RNA (485 nucleotides) under uncultured bacterium. RNAcentral's name for it is "partial 16S ribosomal RNA". It matches the Rfam family "Bacterial small subunit ribosomal RNA", at positions 30 to 507 of the family's 1533-position model. The record is from RNAcentral.
AUUGAACGCUGGCGGCAGGCUUAACACAUGCCAGUCGAGCGGGGGAAGGUAGCUUGCUACCGGACCUAGCGGCGGACGGGUGAGUAAUGCUUAGGAAUCUGCCUAUUAGUGGGGGACAACAUCUCGAAAGGGAUGCUAAUACCGCAUACGUCCUACGGGAGAAAGCAGGGGAUCUUCGGACCUUGCGCUAAUAGAUGAGCCUAAGUCGGAUUAGCUAGUUGGUGGGGUAAAGGCCUACCAAGGCGACGAUCUGUAGCGGGUCUGAGAGGAUGAUCCGCCACACUGGGACUGAGACACGGCCCAGACUCCUACGGGAGGCAGCAGUGGGGAAUAUUGGACAAUGGGGGGAACCCUGAUCCAGCCAUGCCGCGUGUGUGAAGAAGGCCUUAUGGUUGUAAAGCACUUUAAGCGAGGAGGAGGCUACUUUAGUUAAUACCUAGAGAUAGCGGACGUUACUCGCAGAAUAAGCACCGGCUAACUCUGUG